GAUGAACGCUGGCGGCGUGCCUAAUACAUGCAAGUCGAGCGAACGGACGAGAAGCUUGCUUUUCUGAUGUUAGCGGCGGACGGGUGAGUAACACGUGGAUAACCUACCUAUAAGACUGGGAUAACUUCGGGAAACCGGAGCUAAUACCGGAUAAUAUUUUGAACCGCAUGGUUUAAAAGUGAAAGACGGUCUUGCUGUCACUUAUAGAUGUAUCCGCGCUGCAUUAGCUAGUUGGUAAGGUAACGGCUUACCAAGGCAACGAUGCAUAGCCGACCUGAGAGGGUGAUCGGCCACACUGGAACUGAGACACGGUCCAGACUCCUACGGGAGGCAGCAGUAGGGAAUCUUCCGCAAAGGGCGAAAGCCUGACGGAGCAACGCCGCGUGAGUGAUGAAGGUCUUCGGAUCGUAAAACUCUGUUAUUAGGGAAGAACAUAUGUGUAAGUAACUGUGCACAUCUUGACGGUACCUAAUCAGAAAGCCACGGCUAACUACGUG
This 497-nucleotide ribosomal RNA is filed under the name uncultured bacterium. Its description in RNAcentral is "partial 16S ribosomal RNA". It matches the Rfam family "Bacterial small subunit ribosomal RNA", at positions 28 to 507 of the family's 1533-position model. The record is from RNAcentral.